UAUAUCUCCCGUAUUGUUACGCGCGCGCGGAUCGGUUGUCCCUCCUUCUCCUCUCCAGAUUCCUCGAGAUAAGGCAAGUGAAAGUCAGAUCUACAACACCGGGAGUGAAGCCGUAGGGGGGGGGGGGGGG
This is a non-coding RNA of Caenorhabditis elegans, 130 nucleotides long. The record is from Ensembl. Lineage: Eukaryota; Metazoa; Nematoda; Chromadorea; Rhabditida; Rhabditidae.